UGUGAUGACCCUAGCGGACUUCUAUCUGGUAUGGCUCAGAGGAUGCUGUCCAAAUAUAAUAAAUAUUGGGGGCAAGUUGAGAAGAUAAAUAGAUUACUCUUUGUGGCUGUGAUCCUUGACCCCCGAUUCAAGUUGGCCGUGAUAGAAUAUUGGGCAAAUUCCGUCCUUGGGGCAAUGAAGGCUGCAUCGUUUGUUACAUCGCUUAAAACUGAUCUCGAUGACUUGUACUUCCAUUACAAAAAUAGUGGACAGCCUUCAUCUUCAGCGGGUACCUCACACGUGACUCCGACACCUCCCUCUGAUGACUUUAGCCCAGUAGGUGCAUUGCCUCGACGCCGUCAGAAUUACGACAUCAUGAAUGAGUAUCAUCAGCUUGUUGCGUCGAAGAAUAUUAUGGGGUGUACUUCAGAGGUUGAACGGUAUUUUAUGGAAGAGGUCGAGGCACCUAGUCCUGCAUUUGAGAUAUGCAUUUGGUGGAAGGCUAAUUCCGUCAAGUAUCCAGUCCUUUCCCGUAUUGCUCGAGAUGGGCUAGCCAUUCCUAUUACGACGGUUGCAUCUGAGUAGGCGUUUAGCACUGGAGGUCGAGUGUUGGAUGCUUUUCGGAGUUCUUUGUCACCGUCAACUGUGGAGGCCCUCGUUUGCACACAGAACUGGAUCAGUGAUACACCCCUUGGACUAGAUAGCAUUGGCAUUGACGAUGAGAGCUAUAGGCUUGAAGAUGAUGUAAUUGUGAACCCCAGUAUAGUUGCUGAUGACUGAUGGAGUAUGGAUAAAGAUAAGUUGAUAUCAGAAUUAACUUAUUCCGUCCUUGGUAUUAAUGGUACUUCAAAUGACCAACUACGAUGCUGCAAAUGAUGUUUCUUUUUUGAUUGAAUCAAAAUGUUUGUUCUUAUGGACUGUUUAAUCAAACUUUGAACUCGGCUGUUAUUUCUAUUAUUCAUUGUUUAUGAUCUUCUGAAUUAUGUAUAAUAUUAAUACGCAGAUCGGUAUGCAAAUUCAUUUGUAUGUAAUAAAACUC
Long non-coding RNA from Carya illinoinensis, 1018 nucleotides. RefSeq lists it as uncharacterized. NCBI's taxonomy places the organism in Eukaryota, Viridiplantae, Streptophyta, Magnoliopsida, Fagales, Juglandaceae. The transcript is spliced from 3 exons. The record is from RefSeq and is a predicted model, not a curated record.